AAUAAUUUUCGUUGUUUUCACAGUUUUUUACUGUUUUUCUCGACAGUUUCUUACUGUAUAAGUUGUUUACAGUUUGUUACUAUAGAUUUGUUGUUUCCACAGUAUUUUAAUGUAUUUUCAACAGUUUUUUACUGCAUAAGCUUUGUACAGUAGGCUACUGUAGUUUUCCAAUGCAUUAUGGGAAAUAUUACUCUGAAUACAGUAUUACCAACCAACUGCAAAACACAAUGACAAACGUCUAUUUAUAUCUUAAAUGCUUAAUUUUUUGUGAGAUAUUUGGUUUAAUGUCUGUUUUCACAUCAGAUGCUCGGUGUGUUCCUUUAACAUAAAUCAGGUGCCUUUUCUGAGGCUUUAAUGAAAUCACCAGCCAAUUCAAUAGACAUACCAUCAGUUCUUAAUAUUGUUGCCUCUGUGUCACAAAAUGUAUUUUUAAGAUUAGUUUAGGCGAUAAUAUAUAUAUGUAUAAUCUUCAAAUAGCAGUCGAUUAGUUAAAAAAGCGCUAAUUUUAGAAUUUGAUUAAACAAAUGCGGAGGGUUCAGGCGCGAGUCGGUCACGUGAUGUGCUCCUCAGUUCUGUCAGUAGGGGGAGUGGGAGAACGCGUGUGUGUCGUCGUAUCUGUUCUGCUCAUCUAGCGCGUAUUUCUUUAUUAAUAUCUGCUGGGUGAAUAUUAAUACGUAUAUGCUAACAUUAAUUUUGUGACCACAAAAUGACAGCGAGCUAUUAUACGAGAUAUUGUGUCGUCGUGUUUGUCUUCACUCACUUCAUCAUUAUCUGGUAAGUGCUAUAUGCAAUAUCUGGUAUGAGACUUUAUUGGCACUAAAGGGUUCUUUCGGCUAAAUUUUACUUAAUUUCUGUCAUAACAGCAAACAACUUCUGCAACUACACAAUGAUUGUCUGCCUGUGUGCAAAAGAAAGCACGUUCACUGUGUAAAACCCCGCGCAGGGCAUUUUCAAAUUAACGGUCAGGGCGAGUCUGAGCUUAUCGUGUUGUGUUGACAGAGACUUUGCUGAGUGUAUGUAAAUCUGGGCUACAGUCCACGACAAAUUUUCUACGGUAGAUUUACGCCUGCAUGCUGGUCCUUUCGUCUAUCGCGGGGAUAUCAUCACUUCAGCGGACAUCGCACUGAAGAGAUCCUGUGCUUGCGUGGCGGUGUGUUUGUGUGCUCACUUGGAUUGAGACCAGCAGUGCUUUUUUAAAAGUGGAUUCUUUAUGACAUCAAGAUGUGGUUUGGGAAGGACCUUCAUCUAAAUCUGAAGACAGGACAUACUGGCUCAAAAAGCGUUUGGUCAGGAACUGCCUAUACACUUGAAAAAUGCACAGAACUGGAACAGCACAUCAGUUGGGAGCACAUUAACAAGGAUGAAAUUUAUCCAAUAAUUAUUUUAAUAUUUAUAGGUAAGCAACUACUUGCUGAGUGUAUUUAAUGAGUGUGUAUUAAUCUCUUACAGCUCCCAUACUUAGUACAGUAUAUUUUAAUCAGUGUGGCAAUAACUUGUGUUUUAUUUUUAUGUUUACACAGGUGUUUCUGAUAUGGAGAAAAACCCAGCACUGCUCAUUUUAUUUCUUCAUCUUGAGAAUACAGCAAGUUUACCUUUUGUCUGGAAAAUGAUUCAGCAAAGCUAACACCAACAACAAUUUUUCAUGGCACUUUAAACCACCUUGAUGUGAGGAGCCAGCAUCAGAAUGGAUGGUGUCAAUAUCCUGAAAGUGGAGGUAACAGAGGUGGAUCUCGAGACUUGGCCAUGUUCUAGAUUAUAACUGGAUUAUCACAAGUGCUGUCGCCGCUGCUGUAAAUGACGCCCCCACCACCUACACCAGGUGUAGGAAAUGUCGGUCCUGGAGUGCCGUUGUCCUGCAGAGUUUUGCUCCAGCUCUAAACAAACACACCUGAACAACUAGAUCUGAAGAGUCACCAGAAAACUACAGGUAGGCGAGGUUUUAUCAGGGUUGGAAAUGAAAUCUGCAGGAUUUCGGCACUCCAGGACCGACGUUGCCUACUACUGACCUACACCUUCAUCCUGCCACCACCACCCAUACUACCUACAAAAAACUGUAUUGUAAUUAUGCUUUUCACUGUAUUGUAUGAUGUGGUUUUCUCAUUUAGGGUAACUACACUAUGGCAACAAUUGGAUACAUUGAUUGCUGACUGAUUUUGUUAUUUUUUCUUUACUUUUUGUUUAAAAUCUAAUCAUUUUUUUGUUAUUUUUGUUAAUAUUGUUACAAAUAUACAGUUAAAAACUGCACAAUAAAUUGUCUGCUUUUAAAGA
Molecule: non-coding RNA, 2268 nt
Organism: Paramisgurnus dabryanus
Lineage: Eukaryota; Metazoa; Chordata; Actinopteri; Cypriniformes; Cobitidae
Source: RefSeq, a predicted model, not a curated record